GCUGGCUUAGCUUAGUAGGUAGAGAAACUGACUCGCUAUCAGUAGGUCACCAGUUAGAUUCCGGUAGCCAGCACCA
RNAcentral lists this transfer RNA (76 nucleotides) under Aeromonas jandaei. RNAcentral describes it as "tRNA-Ala". It matches the Rfam family "tRNA". Rfam says of the family: Transfer RNA (tRNA) molecules are approximately 80 nucleotides in length. Their secondary structure includes four short double-helical elements and three loops (D, anti-codon, and T loops). Lineage: Bacteria; Pseudomonadati; Pseudomonadota; Gammaproteobacteria; Aeromonadales; Aeromonadaceae. The record is from RNAcentral.